Long non-coding RNA from Oncorhynchus kisutch (coho salmon), 1637 nucleotides. RefSeq lists it as uncharacterized. The transcript is spliced from 3 exons. The record is from RefSeq and is a predicted model, not a curated record. Lineage: Eukaryota; Metazoa; Chordata; Actinopteri; Salmoniformes; Salmonidae.
CUCUGUUGAGCCAUUAUUUUCUGGCCUGUCUACUACUCAGCACCAUGUUGUACCUUACCAUAGUCAUCCGAUGGUGUUGUACCCCACUGGACCACAUCAACUUUAUCACGGAUAACAUCACAAAGUGGUAUAUGAACAGGUGGACAUACAACAAUACUAGACAUUUGACAGUUAUCUGCAUUGAGAUUGAACCUAAAGGGACAACCAACUACAUAACCCAGUUAGUACGUUUGAUGCAAAAUCUCUGGGUUGAACCGAAUGUCAAUGUGAUGGAGUGUGGAAAUGUGGAUACGUUGUUGGGAAACAAAAAUGUGUUGGGUGUUGUUAGUAACACCUACAGUGUCACCCACACUGACAGUAGGCCAGGACUCAGUUUCUACAAACAUUUGAGUAACGCAGUGGCAUUAGUGAAAGGGUACGACUGGACGAUACUGAAGGGAUCGACCGUCGCGGACAAGUUGACGAACAUGAAGCUGCACUGUCAACAUGAACCGCACUGUGUCACUGUUGUACUGACUGGGUCAUCAACCAAGAUGAUAACAGUGCAAUGUCAAGAACCACAGAGGAUAUACAACUUGAUGAAGACAUACGGGAUUAGAUGCUCCAACGUCUGGGAUUCCAACAUAGCACUGUCGGCAAUGGCUCCUUGUACAGCGCUGAUUGAGCACAAUAUGAUGCUAAUAUAUGCAGACAUGGUCCCCCACACUGAUAACAUUUGUCAGGACACCAACGUCGACACGUUCUACCACAACAUGAAAUAGAUCACAAUAAAAACAAAGGGCAGAGUACUGAGACACAGACCCUACACAAUGCCUCUUCGCAAGUCGGUACAUCUACCACCACAGCCAACCAGUCGUACUAACACCAUCUCAGGGGACUCUCUGUCUGAGAGUAUACCACUUGCCCUGUACUACAGUGAUCAAUGGGCACGCCUAAACACCGUUAUGGAGUCAGAUGGUCGAUUUGUUUCACAUGUCCAGUGUGUAUCUCCACAUUAUGUGUCUACAGAUACAUGUAUGGUGGAAUUUGCAUCAGACCAAAACGUUGUGCUUACAGCGCCUGAUGACAAUGAUGAUUUGGACGACAUAUACCGAAACCCAUUUCCUGUCUCUGCUGUUUGAAAAUGUCAAACCGCUACCUUACAUGUGGACACAUCAUGUGUCUACAGUGUAUAAGACGUAUCAAGAAAGAUGGUGUCCUUCAGUGCCCAAUGUGCAGAACACAGUCCACCUGUAACAGACCCCUUAUAGGUGUACCAGACUUUGUGUUUACAUGUCAUGCAUGUUCUAGUGGCCAUGUAACAUACAGAUGCUGUAGCACCUGUUCUGAAUGCUCUACAUCCUUUACAAAACUCAGCAAACUGUACACAGUAGUGUAAAUGACAUGUAUCCAUAACGACCCUAUCGGCAAGGCUUGUAUUGUGCAAUGAAAUGCUUUUAUUGUGUCAUGUACCAUUGCAGAAGACAACAUAUUCCAUAUAACAUACUAUGUCCCUGUCAACAUAUAAUGUAAUGCUUUUUGUAUAUAUUACCUUGUGAAGAAUAAACUGUUUUAUAGUACCUGAAUAACUGUUUAAAAGAAAAACAUUUGUAUAUGACAUGGAUUACCUUGUAUAAAUAAACUACUUCUAUCAACCA